CCCGAUGCAAACUGCGAAUACCGGAGAAUGUUAUCACGGGAGACACACGGCGGGUGCUAACGUCCGUCGUGAAGAGGGAAACAACCCAGACCGCCAGCUAAGGUCCCAAAGUCAUGGUUAAGUGGGAAACGAUGUGGGAAGGCCCAGACAGCCAGGAUGUUGGCUUAGAAGCAGCCAUCAUUUAAAGAAAGCGUAAUAGCUCACUGGUCGAGUCGGCCUGCGCGGAAGAUGUAACGGGGCUAAACCAUGCACCGAAGCUGCGGCAGCGACACUGUGUGUUGUUGGGUAGGGGAGCGUUCUGUAAGCCUGUGAAGGUGUGUCGUGAGGCAUGCUGGAGGUAUCAGAAGUGCGAAUGCUGACAUAAGUAACGAUAAAGCGGGUGAAAAGCCCGCUCGCCGGAAGACCAAGGGUUCCUGUCCAACGUUAAUCGGGGCAGGGUGAGUCGACCCCUAAGGCGAGGCCGAAAGGCGUAGUCGAUGGGAAACGGGUUAAUAUUCCCGUACUUGGUGUUACUGCGAAGGGGGGACGGAGAAGGCUAUGUUGGCCGGGCGACGGUUGUCCCGGUUUAAGCGUGUAGGUGUGUGUUCCAGGUAAAUCCGGUUCACUUUAACACUGAGGCGUGAUGACGAGGCACUACGGUGCUGAAGCAACAAAUGCCCUGCUUCCAGGAAAAGCCUCUAAGCAUCAGGUAACAUCAAAUCGUACCCCAAACCGACACAGGUGGUCAGGUAGAGAAUACCAAGGCGCUUGAGAGAACUCGGGUGAAGGAACUAGGCAAAAUGGUGCCGUAACUUCGGGAGAAGGCACGCUGACACGUAGGUGAAGUGAUUUACUCAUGGAGCUGAAGUCAGUCGAAGAUACCAGCUGGCUGCAACUGUUUAUUAAAAACACAGCACUGUGCAAACACGAAAGUGGACGUAUACGGUGUGACGCCUGCCCGGUGCCGGAAGGUUAAUUGAUGGGGUCAGCGCAAGCGAAGCUCCUGAUCGAAGCCCCGGUAAACGGCGGCCGUAACUAUAACGGUCCUAAGGUAGCGAAAUUCCUUGUCGGGUAAGUUCCGACCUGCACGAAUGGCGUAAUGAUGGCCAGGCUGUCUCCACCCGAGACUCAGUGAAAUUGAACUCGCUGUGAAGAUGCAGUGUACCCGCGGCAAGACGGAAAGACCCCGUGAACCUUUACUAUAGCUUGACACUGAACAUUGAGCCUUGAUGUGUAG
This 1216-nucleotide ribosomal RNA is filed under the name Salmonella enterica. RNAcentral's name for it is "partial 23S ribosomal RNA". It matches the Rfam family "Bacterial large subunit ribosomal RNA", at positions 943 to 2141 of the family's 2925-position model. The record is from RNAcentral. Lineage: Bacteria; Pseudomonadati; Pseudomonadota; Gammaproteobacteria; Enterobacterales; Enterobacteriaceae.